Molecule: RNA transcript, 2911 nt
Organism: Oryzias latipes (Japanese medaka)
Lineage: Eukaryota; Metazoa; Chordata; Actinopteri; Beloniformes; Adrianichthyidae
Gene name: 5'-AMP-activated protein kinase subunit gamma-2
Source: RefSeq, a predicted model, not a curated record
UUCGGAGCUCGCGCUGUUUUCACUGCCGAGCCCUCACUUCCUGGUCGACGGGGCAGCGCCUCGCCUCGGUGUUGUCGUCGCGAGUGUCAGAGGCAGCUCUAGAGGGGGUGGAGGCUGCUGUCGCUCCGACGCCGUUCGUUUCGGACACAUUUACUAUUUGUGCUGGUUUUCAGACGGACACAUUAAACAUGGGCAGCACGGUGAUGGACUCCAACAAGCAGAGCUCAAAGAAGACCCCAAAGAGGAGGAGAAGUCUGCGGAUUAACAUGCCAGACUUUGGUGCGUUUACUGCCUCUCCAGCGGCGGAAACCGGUUCUUCCUCCAAAAGCGGCACUCAGACGGGAGAGCGUCUGAUCCGAUCAGCCAGCCCCACCAAAGGAGCCUUUGCCAGGAGCCCCGUCAGCGUGCCCCCGACGCCCCUCUCCGCCCCGGUACAAUCAAAACCCAUUUCGACUUCGCCCAAAACCAUCUUCCCCUAUCCGUCCAAUCAGAACUCCUCCUCACCAAAGUCUCCCCGCCGCCUGAGCUUCAGUGGGAUCUUCCGGUCCAAUUCGACAGCCGCAAGCAAGAUCUUCUCCAGACACAGGAGGGCCUCUGGACUCUCUACGCCCCCCACCACCCCAGUUCAGGCAUCCAGUCAGCCAGUGUUCCCCCAGGAGGCCCAGCAAAGCACCAGCAGCCAUGAAAGCCUGGAGCCUGGCUCUCGGGUUCGAUCCCUUUCCUCAACCCUGGACACGGGUCAGCGUGUCAACCUUCCCUCUGCAAAACCCCCCGUCUCUUCAGCAACCCCAAUGCCCCACUAUUCUACCUCACAACAUGUCUGCGGCUUCUUUGAAGGUAUGCUGGAGAAACUUGAACUAGAUGAUGACGCUGCUGAACCAGAGAGUGAUAUUUACAUGCGCUUUAUGAAAUCCCACAAGUGCUAUGACAUCGUCCCCACGAGCUCCAAGCUGGUUGUCUUUGACACAGCGCUACAAGUAAAGAAAGCCUUUUUUGCAUUGGUGGCCAACGGUGUGCGAGCUGCACCGCUGUGGGACACGGAGAAACAAAGCUUUGUGGGUAUGCUGACUAUCACAGACUUCAUCAUCAUACUGCACAGAUACUAUAAGUCACCUAUGGUGCAAAUUUAUGAGUUGGAGGAACACAAGCUUGAGACCUGGAGAGAGGUUUACCUUCAAGCAACCUUCAAACCGUUGGUUAACAUAUCACCAGAUGCAAGCCUUUUUGAUGCAGUCUACACCCUCAUCAAAAACAAAAUUCACCGUCUGCCUGUCAUUGACCCUGUCACAGGGAAUGCACUUUACAUCCUCACACACAAGAGGAUCCUCAAGUUCCUGCAACUGUUUAUGUAUGAAAUGCCAAAGCCAGCUUUCAUGAAGCAGACUCUAAGUGAGCUGGGAAUUGGCACGUACCACGACAUCGCUUACAUUCACCCAGACACCCCCAUCAUCAAAGCGCUUAACAUCUUUGUGGAGAAGCGCGUGUCGGCCUUGCCUGUGGUGGAUGACUCAGGCACAGUUGUGGACAUUUACUCAAAGUUUGAUGUGAUUAACUUGGCUGCAGAGAAGACCUACAAUAACCUGGACAUAACCGUGACGCAGGCUCUGAAGCAUCGCUCCCAGUACUUUGAAGGUGUUGUGAAGUGCCAUAAAAUGGAAACAAUGGAAGCCAUUGUGGACAGAAUAGUCAAGGCUGAAGUGCAUCGGCUGGUUGUGGUGGAUGAACGUUCCGGUAUCCAGGGCAUCGUUUCUCUGUCGGACAUCCUCCAGGCUCUGGUGCUCAGCCCUGCAGGUAUAGAUGCUCAGCAUUGCUAGCCCAAACUCUCCUUCUGUCCUGGACCCUGAGCUCCUCUGUCCCUCCAUCUUCCCUGUAAGUCUGUUCCAGAUAUCAAUAAGGAGGAGAACGUGACUGAAUGAGGAGGCGUUCCAUCGUUUUACCUAGUGGAGUCAGUGAAGUCAGAGGCUGAGCGGAGCCGUGCGGAGGUCCCGCUGACCACCAGAGGGCCGCGGAGUUGCUGGAGACCUGCACAGUCGCGUCCCGCGGACCUCUGCAGCGAGGGUCGACACUGAUCAAACACGCAAACAUACAAUUCAAAAUGCAGUCAAACAAGUUUAUGCACACACGCUGACCGAGGAUGGUCCGACGAUGACGAGGAGGAGGAAGAGGAUACAGAACCUUCAAUGGCAACAGAGCGGCACCACCCCUGCAACUGUCAUUAAAGACUCAAUAUUGAUUGGUGCUCAGUCUUUAUUGUUGCUCUUUCAUCAAUACAGCUUUAAAUGAAAGUUUUCAAACAACAGCAUUGAUCUGAGGAGGUGCUGAUGGAACAUGGACGCCGGUUUUUCUUUUUUGUGAUUUCAAACGGUUAAAAAUCAAGGAUUUCUACAGGUUCUGAUGAGCAGAGCUCAGGGGAAGCAGAAGUUUUAGAAAAGAUUCUUUUAACUAAGAGCAAAGGUUGCGGUUCUCACAGAUUUGUUUUCCAGUCACUGACUGCACAAAGGGUUUAUUUUCUUUUGUGUUAAGAUAUAGAUUUUUUUAAUAGAGGUAUAAUGCAUUUCUACCUUUUAUUUUCUGUGGUUUUCAUGCUUCAAUGCUGUCAAACAUGCAAAGUGAUGUGUCCUUCAGCUGUAGCUCCACGUUGACUCAUCUCAUCCUGUUGUUGCUCUCCGUAAAAAGGGUUAUUUUUAUGAAAGUGUGAAUACGUUCAGAGAGACUGCAGUUUAAAGUUAUUUUUGUAAAUAUGUUGUGGCAACAUGUGUAGUUACGCGAUACUUUCUAUCAGAUCAACAUGUACUGUAAAUGUGCAAGCAUGAAAAGCUAUACUUCAGCAGAAUGAAUGUGCAUUUUGUUUUACUUUUUCUAUUUUUUUUUCUGGCUGCAGAGAAAUAAAGACACUGAAUGUACAAUGGAA